This is a long non-coding RNA of Amblyraja radiata (thorny skate), 261 nucleotides long. RefSeq lists it as uncharacterized. NCBI's taxonomy places the organism in Eukaryota, Metazoa, Chordata, Chondrichthyes, Rajiformes, Rajidae. The transcript has 3 exons. The record is from RefSeq and is a predicted model, not a curated record.
CGUAAAUCUAAACGACCCGACCUGUCAAUCUUUAGGUUCCCCAAUAAAAAAGAAAGGGAUUGGUCUCCAAAAAAUGGCCCGCGGGACACAUUAGGCCCAGUGACCAGGAGAUUUUUCGACCUCAGAUUCGAGUCCGAGAAUGCGGCGGCUGUUAUCCGUUAUAUCCCUCGAAUUGUCGAUAAAUCGCAAGUAAUGAUCACAAGCCCGCCGUGAAGAAGGAUGUCAACAGUGGGUCCAGAAUACUCGUCGACAAGAUCUCCU